CCUACGGGCGGCAGCAGUGAGGAAUAUUGGUCAAUGGACGAGAGUCUGAACCAGCCAAGUAGCGUGAAGGAUGACUGCCCUAUGGGUUGUAAACUUCUUUUAUAUGGGAAUAAAACGUUCCACGUGUGGGAUUUUGUAUGUACCAUAUGAAUAAGGAUCGGCUAACUCCGUGCCAGCAGCCGCGGUAAUACGGAGGAUCCGAGCGUUAUCCGGAUUUAUUGGGUUUAAAGGGAGCGUAGGUGGAUUGUUAAGUCAGUUGUGAAAGUUUGCGGCUCAACCGUAAAAUUGCAGUUGAAACUGGCAGUCUUGAGUACAGUAGAGGUGGGCGGAAUGCGUGGUGUAGCGGUGAAAUGCUUAGAUAUCACGAAGAACUCCGAUUGUGAAGGCAGUUCACUGGACUGCAACUGACACUGAGGCUCGAAAGUGUGGGUAUCAAACAGGAUUAGAUACCCCAGUAGUC
RNAcentral lists this ribosomal RNA (460 nucleotides) under uncultured bacterium. Its description in RNAcentral is "partial 16S ribosomal RNA". It matches the Rfam family "Bacterial small subunit ribosomal RNA", at positions 338 to 795 of the family's 1533-position model. The record is from RNAcentral.